AACGAACGCUGGCGGCAUGCCUAACACAUGCAAGUCGAACGGAAAGUCCGUGCUUUUUUGUGGUGCUCGAGUGGCGAACGGGUGAGUAACCCGUGAGUAAGCUGCCCUUGACUUUAGGAUAUCCUCAGAAAAGUGGUGCUAAUACCGGCUAGGAGCUCUUGCUGCAUGGUGGGCGUUGGAAAGUUUCGGUGGUUGGGGAUGUACGCGCGGCUUACCAGCUUGUUGGUUGGGUAGUGGCCUACGAAGGCUUGGACGGGUGGCCGACCUGGGAGGGUGGACGGAGACAUUAGUACUGAGAUAGGGCGCAGUCUGGUAUGGUAGGCAGCAGUGGAGAAUAUUGUACAAUGGGCGGAAGCAUGAUGCGAAGACGCCGCGUGGGGGAAGAAGGCCUGGGGGUUGUGAAGCGCAGUCGCUUGUGACGAAGCGUGAGUGACGGUACUGGGUGAAGAAGCACCGGCUAACUACGUG
This 468-nucleotide ribosomal RNA is filed under the name uncultured bacterium. Its description in RNAcentral is "partial 16S ribosomal RNA". It matches the Rfam family "Bacterial small subunit ribosomal RNA", at positions 28 to 507 of the family's 1533-position model. The record is from RNAcentral.